Molecule: ribosomal RNA, 500 nt
Filed under: uncultured bacterium
Lineage: Bacteria
Description: partial 16S ribosomal RNA
Rfam family: Bacterial small subunit ribosomal RNA
Source: RNAcentral
GACGAACGCUGGCGGCGUGCUUAACACAUGCAAGUCGAACGGGUCUGCCCUGUUUUUUGCGGGGUGGGUCAGUGGCGAACGGGUGAGUAACACGUGAGUAACCUGCCCCUCACUUCUGGAUAACCGCUUGAAAGGGUGGCUAAUACGGGGUGUUCUGGCUGUGCCGCAUGGUGUGGCUGGGAAAGAUUCACUUUUGUGGUGUUUUGGUGGGGGAUGGGCUCGCGGCCUAUCAGCUUGUUGGGGGGGUGAUGGCCUGCCAAGGCUUUGACGGGUAGCCGGCCGGAGAGGGUGGGCGGUCACACUGGGACUGAGCUACGGCCCAGACUCCUGCGGGAGGCAGCAGUGGGGGGUAUUGCACAAUGGGCGGAAGCCUGAUGCAGCGACGUCGCGUGAGGGAUGGAGGCCUGCGGGUUGUGAACCUCUUUCGCCGGUGAAGAAGGUCCUGCUCUUUGUGGUGGGGUUGACGGUAGCCGGGUUAUGAAGCGCCGGCUAACUACGUG